ACGCUGUCAUUGCAUUGUCGCAAAUACGCAUCGCAAUGACGGGAUGCAGCCCUGCAUUCCGGGCAACUCAGAUCAGAUAUUGUUUCGAAAUGGUAUCGCCCAGCCGAGCGUUGUCCGCAAUGAAUUCCUGGNNNNNCCCGCGCUGGAACAAAUCAUCCAUGUGCGCGUGUUCCAGCCGGUUGCGGACGCCGCGCGCGUGGCGCUGU
This 206-nucleotide unclassified non-coding RNA is filed under the name Hevea brasiliensis (rubber tree). The record is from RNAcentral. Lineage: Eukaryota; Viridiplantae; Streptophyta; Magnoliopsida; Malpighiales; Euphorbiaceae.